Molecule: unclassified non-coding RNA, 5296 nt
Filed under: Leishmania donovani
Lineage: Eukaryota; Euglenozoa; Kinetoplastea; Trypanosomatida; Trypanosomatidae
Description: gene:LdHU3.31.3980(CDS-product:hypothetical_prote in_conserved)
Source: RNAcentral
CGCAUCAUCCGCCAUCUCACUCCUCCUCUUUGCAGGCUUCGCGGCGUUUUUCCUCCUCUUCCGGCGCUGAUCCUCAUCAACGGAAUCCUCGUCGCACCACUCGCGCUCACUGUCUCGCAUCUGGGCCGGCGUGGUCGAUUCACCUGAAAGGAACACGAAGAACGGAUUACGGCGUAACCUGACGACUUGCCGCGGGCCUCUCUCAAGUACCUCUCUUUUUUUCUCUCCCUCUCUUCUUCGUUUUCGUGAACCGCUUGGAGCACAUAGUGAAGAGCUAUCCUCGCCACCCACCCUCACCUGCAUCCCCGCCCCUCUCUUCUGCUUUUCAUUCUCAUGUGAGGCGCCAGUCUGGCCGCACCUUUCUCUCUGUCUCACUCAGCAGAUAUUGUAGUCGUUUUGGCGCGUGUGGCAGGACGCAUUUGCGCAGCUUAAAGUUGUCGUUGUUUUUCAGGGGGACAGAGAAGGAGAGCGACACACACAGAAGGGGGCAAAAGGCGUCUGGCGGUGUGGUGGCGGCCAAGCCGGUGUCGCUUGCCGUUGAAGUGCUGUACCUGUGUUCAGGACUGUCUACCUCUUCUUGACGUUCAUGUGUGUGUUUGUGUGUGAAUGCGUGAGUGUGUGCGUAUCCCCCUCUUUCUCCCUUUCACUUCUUCCCGUCAACGCCGCUGCCGAGCCCUUUAUUGAUUGUUUUGCUUUGUUUUCUUGCCUUUCCUGUGGUUCUCUCCUCGCUUUCUAACGUCUCCCUUUCCUCCUCCGCACGCUUGUCAAGACGUGGAGUGCGGCAACGAGGGCGUCGGCAGUCUUCGAUCCCUCGAGCAUCUCUCUCGCCCCACUUCCCCCUAUCCCCACCCCACCCCCUCACUGAGUGUCUUCAGUCUUGGUGGUGGUGGCGGUGUUGUCUUUCAUUACGUUUCGUUUCUCUUUGCAUCUUAAGUCAUCACAAGCACGCAGAUCAUCGUCUUUUCCUUCUUUUUCUUUUUCGUCGUUGUGGAAAGGGAGCUGGGGUCUCGUGCGACGGCUGAGCUGAACGUCUGUUGUUUUGGUUGGUUUACGUUCCAGCUACUGGCUCCUGUUGCUGCGGCAUAAGAGCGCGCUUUUCCUCCGCACUUUCCUUCCGUUUUCUUCUUUUUUUUAGGUAAUCUUUUUGUUGUGCGUUAUUGUUUGUUUUUCGGUGGGCUUAUUCGGUCUGGUGGGAUCUCUCACGGCCUCCACGGGCACUCUUGGGAGCCCCACAAUCGCUCGCCCAGUGACGGCGAGACGCACACAGAACGGUCCGUAAUCACCGCUUUCUUUUGCUGAUACCCUUUUCCACCCCGUUCGAAUCGAUUACUUUGCUUUGAGGCAUUCAUCACUCCGGCGAGUUGGUCGUCCGCCUACUCCUCCGGUCCGCACUCGUCCUAUACCCCCUAAUCCCGACGCCGCUUUUAGGGGCGUGGCUUUCGUGAUACUGCAGAUGGGUAACGCCGUGUUCUGCAGGGCGGAUAAAGAGGCGGGGACGGAAUGCAGCACUCACGGCCAAAUCGGGCAGCAGCGGCUGCUGGAGAAGUGUCCCCGACGUCAGAAAACGCUGAAGCCUCAUCUUUGUGAUGAAGCAAAGGCUGUGUGGAGCACGACCCCGGCUCGUGCCGACGGAAGAGGAGGCCGCUCACCGGAGCAGCAGCGGCAGCAGCAGCAGAACGACCUUUCCUCUUUCACAGGCAUCUCUCCUGUAGAGCUGAGCAGCGUUUCUACGUCGAUCUCUCUCAUCCCAGACUGUGGAUGCGCCUCUGCGACGCCUCAGCUGGAGUGGUUGCAGUCCUCCCUCCCACCUAGUGUUAGCGACCCUAAUUUAGAGCCCCCACACGAGUACACUGUAGACUUCGACACGUUGUCGAGCGACGCCCGGCCAGACAGAAUCGCCGCGGCGCCGCACGUGGGUGGAUCGACCGAGUCCAGUAGCCGUUCAUCCUACUUCACCCUCAGCAUGAGUGGGCUCGAGAUGCCUCCUGACCUCGGCUUCGCCGCCCACCUCGAACGCGUUGCCUCCCCUGAGCUUCGAGCGCCACCGUCAAACUCACCAACACCCGUGCAGCCACCGCUGCUGGCCGCGAGUCCCGCUGAAAGACCCCAUUGGAAUGACGCGAUGUUGCCGGCUGCCGCCCUCCCCGUCACUGCGGUCAGCCCCACUGUCCCUGUAGCACCGAGCCCCUACUCGCCUUUUGCACGAAACGCAAGCACGGGGCCGAAGAAGCCGACCGGCAACUGGUGCUCCUCCGACAGCGAGUCUGCAAGUCCGAGGAGAGAAGCUCCCAAGAUGCAGAAGGAGCCGAUGAAUGCAUCUCCCACUCAUCCGACGCAGUCGCAGCCGCACAGACGGCCAUUCAGGCAGGUGACUCCAUUGCAAGCCGUACAUGAGGUGAAGUCCACUGACGCAGUCACAUCCUCCGCCGCCCACAAGGGCUCCAAAGGUCAUCCACAAGACACGUUGCCGCGGCGACGCCUUACCGACAAGGGUGGUGCUUCCGCCCUCAUACUGCCGCCACUCGACGGCGCCGGGGCGCUGGGUGCCAAGGCGGCGGCGAAGGCUGCGUACACCGGCAGCUCGUCCAUUGCCGGCUUGCACGGGUCUCAACCGCCUCUGGUGCCGAAGGAUUUGCUCUGCUACAGGGAAAACACGCUCACCGGCGGAGAUGCGUACCGGGCGAAAACGGCAAAUAACCGAGGGUGUGCCCAAAGCAGCGCCUCGCCGCGGUGCGCCCUUGUAGCGCGCAAGAUGGACGAGGCGAGUGCCGCGGCGACACCGCCGAGUGGCGCACCGGCUCUUCCCUUACCACUCAACGGCGAUGUAAGUAGCCUUCAAGGGUGCGCCGAGCAAGGCUAUGCAAGACUACCGCUUGUCAAGGGAGCCAGUGCAUCUUUCACGGCAAUGAAACCGGUGCAGGCGAACGCUACCCAACAAACCACGCAGAGCGGCACAAAUGGUGGUGUGUGUGACAAUCCCGCUUCCUAUCAGCCGCCUUGGCACGUGGCUCCAGACGAAGAUGACGCUAUUACGCAACUGAAGUUCACCGCCCAUGCAGCGGCUACCUCCUCUUCGCUCAUGAGAGCGAACUGGCAAACGGCCACAGCGGCGACGACGGCUAAUCAGAGUCACGCAUCCACCUCUUCAGUUUCAAUAUCAAAAGAGGCGCAUCCGCACUCAGCAUUACGCGAUACGAUGAAGCGCAGAUCUCUCACGUUGACGGAGCGAGGCGCCCGACAGGACGCCGCUAGCACAGCUCACUUACAAGUUUCUGGGCAAGGUGCAAGCGCCCCGAGUCGCCUGCCCUCGGCCAACUGCAUGGAAGUACGCACGACGGAGAAAGCACAGGAUUCACUUGUAUCUGCACCAGUGCCCUUUUCUCCUUCCCUUCGACAAGUCGGCGCUGGGGAGCAGUGCUGCAGCCGUUCCGAUGAUGGAAGUGAGAGCCCCGGCGAAGACAAGGAGAGGCCGUCAGGCGACGGCGAAUGUUUGCCACGGUCCCAAAGUGUGUGCGACUUACCGCCGAACCUCGGCGCUAGUCACCGGGUCGACUCAAUUCUCAAGAAGACCAGCAGCUACCGUUCUCUGAAUGGCUCUCCGGUGGAACGAACGCUGCCGGCGGUGGGCUCGGUGUCGUUUCUGUUGUGCGAGCAGGAGGCGUCGCUCGCCAUGGUGAGCCGCCAAGGCGUGUUCAAGGCCGUCUCCCACCACGCAAAGCCGCGUCAGAAGGAAGACCAUCGACUUUUCGAGGGCUCCUGACGUCACUCAGUGGGGAUGUGGCACAGAUCCCGCUAGGUAUAUCACGUUUUUUUUUGUUGCUGCUGUUACGGAGAGAGGCGGCUAGUGUUAGGAGAAUGCGGAAGUGUUUGCAUAUGAAGGGGCUACGCUCGCUCUGCAACAACAAAAAAAAGCGCGUCCAUUUCGUGAGCGAGUUGCUCCUCGCUGUGGGUGUGUUCGAAGACGCGUCUCCCAUUGGUUGUCGUUGUUUUCUGUACCUUCCGUUUCGGUGCACAGCACAUAUAUAUACAUACAUAUAUACUUUUCGUAGCCCAUUUGGCUGCUCUUGUCCCGGAUAGCCAUGAAGCGGCUCGUGCAAGGGGUAUGUGGCCCCGCCACUCACCACCUCGCGGAUGCCGGCGAGGGAGUUCCUUCUUUUGCGUACAGCUGAUCGCCCAUCCCUCAGCUUUCUCCAGUCAUCUUCGCCCCUUUCUUGCUCGCUCUCCUUCGUCGGUAGAGCUCCAUCGACUGAAAAAAAAAUGUUCGGUAUCUUUCCGCCGUUGUGCUCGCAACCACCGAAUCGUUUUCUCCUUGUUUACUGGUCCGCGCGUCCUUCUCUUCUGGCCCACCCAUCCAACUUUGUGCGCCGCUGCUAUUCAUUUACUUGUUUUCUCAGACGGCAGCAGGAGGUAUGCCCGACUGCAGCUGAUGUGGUUCCACUUGCGCUGGGAGUGGAUCCUGUCCUCUCUCUUCCUUGUGCGUCCCAUUAUGGUGUCUUUUCGUACUCUUCCUUGCGGACGUGAAGCUGCCUGCAUGUGCGCGGGCGUCUGAUGACGUGCGGUUGAACCACCUGUCUGUAUGCACCGGUGAGGCAUGUUGCCACACCCGCGUGUGCGGGCGGCUCCGGAUGGCAACAGAGCUGUAUCAUGCACACGCCAUCUCUCUCUUUUUGACAGUGUUUUUCCUACGACUAUCUGCGUGUUGCGUUUCUCGCUUGAUUUUUUCACGGAGGUGCUGUUGUCGUGUGCUUGUUCAUGCACGAGCCGUUUCAGCAGCUCCUCUCCACGCCUCUGCUGCCUGCCUCUCUGCACACACACACACGGACACGCACACACAGCCCUGAUCUUGUUCUUUGUUUUCUGUUUAGUUUACCGUUCCCUCUAGUGGUCCGUUUCUUCCCGUUUUGUGUGUCGUUGCGUUUUAUCUUUUUAGUUUCGCUGGUCUUGUAUCUGAACUCAGGUUAUCUGUGCUGCUCCGCCUCGCCUCCCUGAACAGCAGUCCGUUUCUCUCCCCCUCUCUUUGGGUAUCUACUUAGAGGGCGCCUCGCGUGUUUGCGAGCGUGUGGAAGUCACCUGUCACAGUCGUACUCGUCUCGGAAACGGCGAACAGAAUAUCGAAGAUACGAACGACCCUGAAGUGGAACCGCGCCGUUUUUGAAGGCGAUUUCGUUGUGUUGUGUAGACGUGCGUACACGAGCCGCAUGCGCUCCUUUGCAGACCUCUUGCUCUCCCCCUUCUAUCAUCGUACCUGCGACUUUCUGGUUUCUCGUCCUCUCUUCUGUCUGCUGCCCCUUUUAAG